Molecule: long non-coding RNA, 5421 nt
Filed under: Sus scrofa (pig)
Lineage: Eukaryota; Metazoa; Chordata; Mammalia; Artiodactyla; Suidae
Description: lncRNA (ENSSSCG00030072978.1)
Source: RNAcentral
UUUUUUUUUUUUUGUCUUUUUAGGGCCACAUCCAUAGAAUAUGGAGGCUUCCAGGCUAGGGGUCGAAUUGGAGCUGGAGCUGCUGGCCUACACCACAGCUCACGGCAACACCAGGUCCCUAGCUCACUAAGCAAGGCUAGGGAUAGAACCUUCUUCCUCAUGGAUACUAGUCAGAUUCAUUUCCUCUGAGCCCUGAAGGGAACUCCUACACUGCAUUUUAAAACAUCCCAUUUAGGAGUUCCCAUUGUGGCUCAGUGGGUUAAAGAUCUGGUGUUGCCGUAAGGUGAAGCAUAGAUUGCAGAUGCAGCUCAGAUCUGGUGUUACAGUGGCUGUUGCACUGGCUGCAGCUGCAGCUGCAGCUCCGAUUCGACCCCUAGCCCAGGAACAUCUAAAUACUGAGGGCGUCGUCAUAGAAAUAAAAAUAAAAUAAAAUAUCCUGUUUAACUUAGAGUAGUCAUGAAUUUAUUAUGACUGUCACCCAGGCAACCACGCUGAUUCAGAUAAAACUCAAUGUUGGCUUGUUGGUUCAUUCUUUUAUUGUUUAUUCAUUCUUCAAACAUAUAAAAAUUAUUUAUUAUUUAGCAGAUAUUUUAAGAUAUCUACUAUCUUAAGAUAUCAUAAGAUACUGUCUCCAUCAUACAUGAACUGGGAACAACUACAGGCAAACCAGCAAAGUCCAUAUGGCUGAAUAACCCAAAUUGGACCCUUAACUGCUGAUGCUCCCCAGAGCCUUGGCUAAAAGAUACUGAUUAGCAAAACACUAGUGUUCGAUGAAGCUAAUAAGGUACAUUGAGGGCAGGUUGGGUAGGAUCUUGGAACACAUGUCUAUGAGGUGUUUGGUAAACCAUUCCAUAAACACCUGUUAUCAUAUGGGGCUUAAUCACUUAGAUAUAAUUUCAGCCUGAAGCUCGUUAGAAAAGACUUGUGAGGCUAACAUGGCAUAUCACAAUGCCUUCUUUUCAGCUGGCUUUUCCUAACACAGUUUCUUCUGAUAGAUCCAGUAACUGUAAUUUAUGCUUCUCCUACACAGAAGUGUUUUCCAGAUGUCAACAGUACUUUUUUUGUUUUACAGUGUCCCCCAAACUUGACUGGCACAAAAGCACGAAUGAAUGAAGCAACAAAGAAUUUAUUCAAGAAAUUUAAAGUUAUGGGGGAAUAGAUUUACAUCCCACAGCGAACAACCUAAUAAAUCCCAGUUAAAUACUGUGCAUCUGAAACAGAGUUUUCCUUUUUUAUCUUCUCUCCCCACGUAGAGCUCGGCUGCUUCUUGCUAUUCAUCCUCUCCAGUAAAUCCAGGAUGUAUUUCCAGUAAAUCUCCCCUUCCUUCUUCCAUAGAGGGAAGUGCCCAGGAUGCACUUUGACCAUUCAGUUGGCUUUUGCCAAAGCAUCGUCUACAUAAGGCUGCUCUUCCAUAGAUCAUCUGUUAAGGGUAUAUAUUUCUUAUAUCAGUAAUUUAAUAUACAUGUGCAUGGAACAUAUAUGUACACACCAGGAAAAAGAGCACAGUAUUAGUGCUGGUGUCUCGGUGGUAAGAUUAUACAUUAUUUUCUUUUCCAUAAUUUCUUGCAAUUUGUAAAAUUUCUAGGAUGUACAUAUUAUGUUUUUAAUUAUAAAAAAGACAUUAACAUUGAAAACAACUUCCCCCUACAUUUGCUGUGUCAUAUCCCCAUUUAGAACCUUACAGAGUUCCUUCUUUGCCUGCAGGAUCAACUCUGAUGCUUAGCACAGGAGCCUCCCCUUGCUUCAGCUCCCCCAUCUCUGACUGGUGGUUUACACCCUGAUAAUACCAAAUGGGGUUUUCCUGCACCCACCCCACCGGUUCAUGACUCUUUGUUCAUGUGGUGACUUUCACCAGGAUAUGGGUUUCCUUUCCCUGGCCACUUUCUGCCAUCUUUCCACCCCUAUCCACCUCUACCCCCCACCACCUCCACCCUCCCUCUCUGCCUGCUCCAAGCAGGCAGAAGCUCCUGGGAACCUCCCUGGGCAGCUUGCCUGGGAUCUAACUGCAUUUCCACCCUGGGAAUGAAAAAAUGUGUGCUUUUGUCCUUACUCUUCUUGACGGUAAGCUCCCUGGGGACAGGUACCAAAUCUUACUCAUCGUCAUAUUAAUAGCAUCUAGAAUGCUCCUUCACCAUGAUACAAGCUGCCAAAAUGGAACUAACCUCAAGCAACACUGGUAAAAGAAUUUCAGCCAUUAGUGAAUAGAUGCAGUGGGAAAAUCCUUAGCAUAAAAGACCUUCUUGUCCUUAUGCUACGUGUGUUCGAGACACUACUUUGGUUAUUCAAAGACCCAGAGCGCCAAGCACCAAGGCCUAAAAAUCAGUCUUUGGAGAGAUGAAGCAGGUAAUAUGAGUUGAAAAUAUUGCCCCUGUGCUGUGGCUCUUUGGUGCUGGGAGCUUUCUUAAUGGCAAAUAUGGGGGAAAGUUGGGAAGAAUGUGAUGUUUUAACUGACAGAAUUUUUAAGCUUCCCUUCCUAGUGUGCUUAGUAGAAUAUCUUUAACCAAAACUGCUGAGUGCAGAUAAAAUACUUUGCUGCUCUUUAAAUCACCCUAAUCUUGAAAGCAAUUAACCGUGCUUUGAUAAUUGAAUUGAUUUUUCCUUCCUCAUUGAGGAGCACUGACGUCGACUGGGGAACCCAAGGAAAAAUCUCCUGAAUAUCAUGAAAAAUUAGCUUUAUUGAACCGCUUAGCAUAUAUUUCAAAUAUUUUGUAAAGGUGAACUUACAAAGCUAAAUCAAAAAAUUAAAUGCAGUCAAGUAUGUGUGUACUUUAUAUUAUAGUUAAAAAGGAAUGAAUAAUUCUGGAGCCUUUUUUUUUUUUUUUAAUAAAAGGAAAGUAUAGGGUUUUCCCCUCACUUUCAAGUAUAACUCAAAAGCAGUUCAACCAGUUUGGUUCAGACUUGUCUAAGUUGACUUUUUUAAGUUGUCUAAGUUAACUUGGCCAUGGUGCUCUUGGCUGAGACAACGGCAGAAAAAUUUCCGUAGAAAGGCAAUUAUUGCUAAAUGUAUCCGGAUUGUUAGAAUGGUUGGGGCUUAUCAACCACAUUAUGGUAAAAAUGCUUAACUCUAGACAAUAUGGUAAAAAUGCUGAUCUGGACGGAGAAAUUAUAUUACUGCUUUGGCUCAGAAAGGCCACAGAAGUGGUCAUUAUUUUUAUAAGAUUACAAAGACUACAGAGAACAUGCUGCUAUAGUUUGGAUGUUUGUGUCCUUCCAGAAUUCUUACAUUGAAAACUCCCCUCCCCCAAGGUGAUGAUAUUAGGAGGUGAGGCCUUGAGGGUGAUGAGGUUAUGGGGACAGAGCACUUAUGAAUGGGAUUAGUGCCCUUGUGAAAAGGCUCUCUUGCCCCUUCUGCCACGUGGGGACAAAAUGAGAAGCUGGCUGUCAGCAACCCAGAGGAGGGAAUUCCCUAGAACCAGACCAUGCUGGCGCCCUGACCUUGACUUCCAGCCUCCAGAACCAUGAGAAAAAGUUUAUGCUGUUUAUUAGUCCCCAGCAAACGGUGCUUUCUUAUGGCAGCCUGGAUGGACUAAGGCAUGUUUCUUUGCAAUGCCUUCCCACACCGAGGAUGCCAUGGCUGCAGUCUUGGCAGAAGUGCAGAUCCCGGAGGAAUCUGCUGCAUUCGGGGCUCAUUUUCUCACUCUCUGGGUUUGCCAGGUCCACUCAGCAUGCAUGUGUGGUGUCCUUUAAGCUGUACCCCAAGCUGAUUUGGUUCCCAAUCUUUAUUUCCUAACACCACUUGCUUUUUCCUCUUUUCUUUUGCUUUUUUUAGGGUUGCACCUGCAGCACAUGGCAGUUCCCAGCCUAGGGAUGGAAUCAGAGCUACAGCAGCCAGCCUACACCACAGCCACAGCAAUGCAGGAUCUGAGCCUCGCCUGAAACCUACACCACAGCCACAGCAAUGCCAGAUCCUUAACCCACUGAGUGAGGCCAGGGACUGAACCUGCAUCCUCAUAUAUGAGAGUCGGAUUCAUUUCCGCUGAGCCAUUAUGGGAAUGCCACAAAACUUUUUUUUUUUUUGGACAUUGAUUCAGAAUUCCAUUGAUUCCUAAUUCAGAAAGCCAGGAAUAUUAAAUAGCCAGACUUCUUUUUCAUAGAUACACUUGAUGACAAUUCCUUUUUAUAACUGUAGCUUUGAGGUACUGAAGAAACCAUGAAAUACUCAUUUGAUUGGCAGCAAAUCAAGAUCUUAGGGUGAGUUUUAAUGCUAAGGAUAGCUUUUGAAUUGAUUUGCUUUGAAAAUGGGUAAUCUUCCGUUGGUAUAAAAUUUCAUUCAUGGUAUUCAGCCAGCCAGAUUUCCUGAUGCCCAAUGAUUCUAGACAAAUUGCCAUUUUCUGUACAAAUGUUAGAAAUUUCACUCCAAAAAUUGAAUUGCAUGGCUGUUGAGUAUGAAAGUAUGCAUGAAAUAAUCUACAUUAACACAAUUUAAAUGAUAACAUCCUCGAGUACUUUAACUUCAUUAAAGAAAGAUACAGAGAUCCUGUUGUAGCUCAGCAGACAUGAAUCUGACUAGCAUCCAUGAAGAUGCAGGUUCGAUACUUGGCCUUGCUCAGUGGUUAAGGAUCCAGCGUUACUGUGAGCUGUGGUGUAGUUCACAGAUGUGGCUUGGAUCCCAUGUGGCUGUGGCUGUGGUGUAGGCCGGCAGCUGCAGUUCUGAUUGGACCCCUAGCCUGGGAACCUCCAUAUGCCCCUGGUGUAGUCCUAAAAAGACAAAAAAAAAAAAAAAAAAAAAAAGAGAGAAAGAAAGAUACCAUUUGGGGGGAACUCUUUAAUAGCAGGGUAUCUUUUGAGGACCGAAUCAAAACCAGUUCAAUGCAUAUAUUAAUUUUUUCUUACGUUUUUGUCUCCAUUUAAGAACAUUUUAUUUAGUCUACAUUCAUUGGUCAUUUACUCUAUGUACCACAUUCCAAAAGUUACCAAGAAAAGAAAUAUAAACAAAACAAAAAAAUACUUAUACAUCUUGCUGUGUAGAGUCCACAGGUUUCUCAUGACUAUUCUCUUACACCAUUCACAAAAGUUGAAAUGGAAUCAAGAUUUUAAUGGAAUACCUAAAACUCUUAGAAGAAAAUGCAAGAAAAAAGCUCCUUAACCUGUGUCCUGGCAAUAAUUUUUUGGAUAUGAUCCUAAAGCACAAACAACAAAAUGAAAAAUAAACAAGUGGUACUACAUAAAACUAAGAAGGUUAUAGACAGCAACAAAUAAGAAUAAGAAAGCAAAAAACAACCUAUAAAUUAGAAAAAUAGUAUUUGCAAACCACAUAUCUGGUAAGGGAUUAAUAUUCAGAAUAUGUAAAGAACUUAGACAACUCAAUAGCAAAAAAACAAAUAGUUCAAUUAAAAAAUGGACAAACAUCCUGCGUGGACAUUUUUCCAAGGAAGACUUAUGAAUGGUCAAGAAUCAUCAGGGACUCAGUAGAGAAAGGCG